Molecule: ribosomal RNA, 741 nt
Filed under: Triticum aestivum (bread wheat)
Lineage: Eukaryota; Viridiplantae; Streptophyta; Magnoliopsida; Poales; Poaceae
Description: partial small subunit ribosomal RNA
Source: RNAcentral
AUGGAGGGUUUCAGCCAGAAGCAUGUCAUUGGAAUUCCCCUGCCUUCCUUUGCAUUUGCUGACGAGAAAACACUAGGAAAACCAUCAUGUUCUUCUUUGGUUCGCAACAAGGGUAAUGAUCUCACGAUCUCCUUGCCCAAUUCUCUUCUCCCAACUGCUGUAAUUUGUAUGUCAAUGCUGAUUUUCUGUCCUUUCCUUGGCGCCGCAGACAAAAAGAACUCCAUCGUUUAUCGGAUGAGCAAGCUAAGUCAGAAAACAGAUAGUUACAUGCAGGGCUUCAAGGAACACUUAGCACUUGGACCGAAACUUUCAGAAACUGUGAAAGGGAAACUGAGCUUGGGUGUGAAGGUUCUCCAAGCUGGUAGCAUGGACAAAGUCUUCAGGCAAUACUUCCGAGUCGAGAAAGAAGAGAAGCUACUGAAGGCUUUCCAGUGUUAUCUCUCAACCACAGCCGGCCCAAUAGCUGGAAUGCUUUUCAUCUCCACUCGGAAGAUUGCCUUCCAUAGUGACAGGCCUUUGGAUUUAAAAUCGCCCAAGGGCCGCACCGCAAGGGUGCCCUACAAGGUCAUGAUUCCUGCAAAGAGGAUAAAGAGUGCUGCCGUGAGGGAAAAUUUGUAUAAUCCUGAUGAGAAGUACAUCGAUGUAGUUACUGUCGACGGCUUCGAUUUUUGGUUUAUGGGUUUCAUCAGUUACACAAAAUCACUGAAAUAUCUUCAGCGUGUAAUUUCGGAGAUGAGAUGA